Molecule: non-coding RNA, 222 nt
Organism: Pelobates cultripes (western spadefoot toad)
Lineage: Eukaryota; Metazoa; Chordata; Amphibia; Anura; Pelobatidae
Source: the annotation of a GenBank genome assembly
CAUGGUACAUGCUAUACAUGAUAUUAAGAAUCCUGGGAAGUGACAGGUCUCAUUUAAGAUAACGUUAGCACCACUACAUCCAAUACAAUAUAAAAGCACUUGAACAAUGCUCACAUGGGUUUAAUAUAUUUUUCCAUUAGCAGGCAAACAGUAAUCUAGUGUAAACUGCACCAAUCAAAAUUGUCUAUGAAAAAUAGCAAUGCUAUUAGCUGCCUCAACUCC